GCCCAGAGAGGUCUGAAUGUUGCUGCUGGUUACAUCACUUCAUAUAGCAUUCCCCUCUGGAUUUGCUGCUAUGAGGACAUACUGAGCACACAUCAUCUGGGAUCUUCAGAAGAGUGCUGCCCAGAGAGGUCUGAAUGCUGCUGCUGGUUACAUCACUUCAUAUGGCAUUCCCCUCUGGAUUUGCUGCUAUGAGGACAUACUGAGCACACAUCAUCUGGGAUCUUCAGAAGAGAGACAUCUGCAUGCUGCUGGUGACAUCACUUCCUCUGACGACCUCCUCCUGAGUACACAUCAUCUG
Long non-coding RNA from Alosa sapidissima (American shad), 298 nucleotides. RefSeq lists it as uncharacterized. The transcript is spliced from 3 exons. NCBI's taxonomy places the organism in Eukaryota, Metazoa, Chordata, Actinopteri, Clupeiformes, Clupeidae. The record is from RefSeq and is a predicted model, not a curated record.